UACAGAGGUCUCAAGCGUUGUUCGGAUUCAUUGGGCGUAAAGGGUGCGUAGGUGGCGUGGUAAGUCUGGUGUGAAAUCCCGGGGCUCAACCCCGGAACUGCACUGGAUACUGCCAUGCUUGAGUACUGGAGAGGAGAUUGGAAUUUACGGUGUAGCAGUGAAAUGCGUAGAUAUCGUAAGGAAGACCAGUGGCGAAGGCGAAUCUCUGGACAGUUUACUGACACUGAGGCACGAAAGGCCAGGGGAGCAAAACGGG
This 256-nucleotide ribosomal RNA is filed under the name uncultured bacterium. RNAcentral describes it as "partial 16S ribosomal RNA". It matches the Rfam family "Bacterial small subunit ribosomal RNA", at positions 524 to 777 of the family's 1533-position model. The record is from RNAcentral.